ACUAGGGACAGGGAGAACUAGAUGGGUCUGUAAGGGACACAGAACAGCCAUGAGUGUUGCUGAUCUCCUGCAUGUGCCAAGCUGGGGGUGCUGCUGGUGUACACGGACCCUGCACUUCUCUGGGGUGGGCAUUCAGACUAUAAAGAAGCGAGCGAGUGGCAAAUAGGAAUCGAUGCAGAUGAGAAAUGAGCGGCAAGAGCCAUAUUUAACAAUUAGGAGGUGACAGCCCCCCAGUGGCCCCGCGCCAGAUUCAUCAUUGCGCUUCUCUCCCCAGACAGAACAGGGUGCAGGUUCCGGCCCAAAUGACAAGGCAAGAGAGAGACUGUGAGUCAAGUCGGAAGAAAAGACUAUUAAUUAAAAACCAUUCUCUUAUCUGCGCCUCCUGCCUGGAAACUGGGAACAAAUGGAAAACUGGCAGGAGCGGGAAAUGGGGCUCCAGCCAUUAACCCACUGGCUGCCACAUGCACUGAUUAACACCUUACAAAUAUAUGGCCUGGGGUUCAGUUCCAACCAGGGCUCGGUCUGUAUGAAGCUUUUAAACAUUAGGCUAUUUUGUUAAAUAACAACCCAAAAAUGA
This is a long non-coding RNA of Xenopus laevis (African clawed frog), 577 nucleotides long. RefSeq lists it as uncharacterized. NCBI's taxonomy places the organism in Eukaryota, Metazoa, Chordata, Amphibia, Anura, Pipidae. The transcript has 2 exons. The record is from RefSeq and is a predicted model, not a curated record.